GACGAACCGUCCGAACGUUAUUCGGAAUCACUGGGCUUAAAGGGUGCGUAGGCGGCGCGGCAAGUUGGGUGUGAAAUCCCUCGGCUCAACCGAGGAACUGCGCCCAAAACUACCGUGCUCGAGGGAGAUAGAGGUGAGCGGAACUUAGGGUGGAGCGGUGAAAUGCGUUGAUAUCCUAAGGAACACCGGUGGCGAAAGCGGCUCACUGGAUCUCUUCUGACGCUGAGGCACGAAAGCUAGGGUAGCGAACGGG
This 253-nucleotide ribosomal RNA is filed under the name uncultured bacterium. RNAcentral describes it as "partial 16S ribosomal RNA". It matches the Rfam family "Bacterial small subunit ribosomal RNA", at positions 524 to 776 of the family's 1533-position model. The record is from RNAcentral.